AUAAAGGCCGAUAUUCGUUUGAAAGGGGCCUGUUACCUGAAAUGAGUUGGAUUCGCAAAGAAAAUGAUGUUAAUGCUAAUCUGUCAGUAGUAAACUCUUGUUCAAAGCCAUUUAAGCAAAAAUCUUUAAGUCAGAAACCAUUGAAUAGCAUUGCUUACAAUGUUUAUGAUAUGGCUGCCAAACAAUCAAAAACCAAAAAAACUUUGGCUAAGGAUCUGAGUGAUGAAGAAAAAGAAUCUGUUAUACAAGAAGUGCUAGACUAUAUGUUGGGCCGUAGGUCUCCUGUGGCUUCCUCACCAGACUGCUUCUUGUGUAAAGGUGUUCCUCCUACAAAGGAAAAAUGUUCUCAAAGUUGCUCACACAACCAGCGUAGUGUUACUGGCCUCCCUGUUUAUCGAUCCUCACCUCAUAAACACUUAAACAGUGCAAAUUUUUCUAAGAAAAAUUGUGUUACCCCAACCACGAAGGACAAGAAAGCAAAGCAAACAAAAAUCAUUAAUGGAAAGCAAGCUGAAGAGCAAAGAGAGUCCCCCAUAAAAAAAUGGCUAGAAAAUGGAUCCAAUGCUACCAAAGCUGUAGCCUCUACUGAGUCAACAUAUGCAUCCAACACUCUUGGAAAAGAGCAUUUUCAAUCAUCAAAACGAUCUAAACAAGUUGGUGACUCUAAAUGCCAAUAUACUAGUAAAACAUACAUUAAGCCAUUUGGAGAAAAGUGUUCUAUGGAUAAUCACUCUUGCCUUGAAUGCCAAGAAUUGAAAGGGGUAAAGAGUACGGCCCCCUUAAAACGCCAAUCCCGAUAUUGGGGCCGAAAAAGUUGUACGCAGCCAUUGAAAAGCGAUAAAACUGAUUCCUGUGUCAGGCAGCCGCAUCAAAACAACAAAUCUCAGUCAUGUAAAGCCAUCAUCCAAACUUCUUCAGCGAAUGGAACUACCUAUUGGCCAAGGGUUCUUAUCUCUUCACAUCUCAAUGUUCUUUUCUCUCGCAUUACUGCAGAGAACGACAACAUUGGUUUCGACCUAACGCACCAUGUGAACGUAAACAGAGGACUAGAACGGUGACUCGAUGGAUCAGCUCAAAACCUUGUGAUCAUUGCGAAAGGCAACAAAGGAUUGUGUAUGCUGACUGGAAAAAUGCCAGCUGUGCUUAGGAGCUCAGCUAACUUAUUGGUCAAGAAGGAUGAUAGGAUGAGCGGAGAAGCAAAGAAAUAUUCAAAAACAAGAACGACGCCGAGUUAAGAGAAAGCGCCAAGCGUUUAAUCAACACCUUGCCCUGCCAGGGCAAGCGAUUCUGACCGCAAAGCACCUCACACUCGUUUUCUCAGAGCGCCACGUAGCUCGAUAAUCAUCCGGCGUCCAAUGUCAGAAGAAAACAGUGUGCUGUAUAAAUAGGUUCGAAUAGUGCU
This is an RNA transcript of Daphnia carinata, 1402 nucleotides long. RefSeq lists it as uncharacterized. NCBI's taxonomy places the organism in Eukaryota, Metazoa, Arthropoda, Branchiopoda, Diplostraca, Daphniidae. The record is from RefSeq and is a predicted model, not a curated record. The transcript is spliced from 6 exons.